CUUAACGUGAACGUCACUGAAACUGAAGGUUCCCUAACAAUUUGAGUAGACGCUUGCCAGAUCCAUAGGUGUGGGGAUGUACAGAGCUAAAGGGAAUUGAGUUAUGAAAACAAACAUGUGUCCAAGGGGACCGAGUCUAAGGAUGAUUUAAAUAAGUGCAUAGUUUUUGUUGCUGUCUCUCAUUGCCCCUCCUGAUACAGUGUUAUCUGGACCACAGAGUUUGGGGGAUGGACAGUGAGCAAUGAAUGGUUAUAGAAUGAAAAAGAAAACUUACCCUAUCUAAAGGGCAAUCUCUCCCGGGAUGUGAGUCUCUGCAGUGCAACCCUUUGCUAAUUACGCUACAGGGAGCAGAUGAUUCAGUAAGUGAGGUUUAUGGAUCACGAAUAGACAUUAGUAGAAAAGAUGCCCUCGCCUCAGCCCCACCUGGCCCGGCACCAGACGCCCAAAGCCCUUGGCCUUUCCUCCUUGCCGCUCACCAGCCUGCGCUGCCUGCCGCCCGCUUGGCCCUCUUGCUCUUGCUUCCCCGGCCCCCGGCAGACACACAGCCAGGGACACCCAGGCAGCACAGCAGGAGGGGAGCCCUUUGGCCUGCUGCCCUCCUGCCCACCCCCAAGCCCACCCCAAAUCAUGCAUGCGCCCAGAAACCCUGACCUGCACCACAAAGGCAGCAGCACCAGCAGCAAGGAACACCAGGCCUGUGGGCGCAGCUGGCCUACAGCAGGGGACGGCCCUUUGGCCACUUCCCGGAUGCUCUCCUGCUCUCCACCCUCCCAACCUCUUGCACACCCCCAGCCUCGGCGCUGCAGGAAAAAGAGACAACCUCACGGCUCCGGGAGGCCCGCACUCGCAGCAACAGCCACACCACAGCUGCAGUAAGCAACACCGCUUUAGCCACCCCUGCCAAACACGGUGCUAGGCCAGCUGCCACUAACAAGAGUCAACUCCGUCCCAGCCAGAGCAAGUCCGCAGAGGCAGUGGCACCUAGCCCACCCUGGGCAGAAGGCAAGAUGCAGGAUGCCGAAAAACCAAGAGAAUCAAGCCCUGUUCACUUGUCCUCACCACUAGCAGGACCCUGGCUGUGACUCCAGAUGAUUUGUGCGCUUACCGUCUGUCACCCUCCUCAAGUGACCAGUGUGGCCAAGUCUCUGUACGGAUCCCUGGGGGACUGUGCCCUGGAAGGAGUCCAGUCCAGCAGCACCAACGGGCACGUUCAAACGCAGCUUGCGACAAGGCCCUUCCUCUGCUUAGGAGCGCCGUCCUCCGGGCUUGCCUCUGCAGAUGUCUUUUGCUCAACAGUGCCCAUCCUUGGCAGAACCUUUGGCUUCUGCUUCUCACCUAGGCGUCGAAAGAGAAGCUUUGAAUCUUAGAGAGCGAGACUAGAGAAGCUCUUCAGGAUACCUACAAUGUGACCACGUGCUGGCAGGAGUGGUUCAUCGAGGCUCUGCUCAUCUCAGUGACCCAUUCAUAUUACAGGACAAAGCCCCUUUCUCGCUGACAGAAUGGAGAACGUGCUGAUGAAGCAAAGGGGAGAAAUGGAUGGGCUACAAAG
Long non-coding RNA from Columba livia (rock pigeon), 1549 nucleotides. RefSeq lists it as uncharacterized. The transcript is spliced from 3 exons. NCBI's taxonomy places the organism in Eukaryota, Metazoa, Chordata, Aves, Columbiformes, Columbidae. The record is from RefSeq and is a predicted model, not a curated record.